GGGGAUGUGGCUCAGUGGCAGAGCUCUUGCCUUGCACGCGUAAGGCCCUGGGUUCAAUCCCCCAGCACCACCA
RNAcentral lists this transfer RNA (73 nucleotides) under Cavia porcellus (domestic guinea pig). It matches the Rfam family "tRNA". Rfam says of the family: Transfer RNA (tRNA) molecules are approximately 80 nucleotides in length. Their secondary structure includes four short double-helical elements and three loops (D, anti-codon, and T loops). The record is from Rfam by way of RNAcentral. Lineage: Eukaryota; Metazoa; Chordata; Mammalia; Rodentia; Caviidae.